ACGCUGCCGCCAUGUUCCGCUGACGCCCGUCAGCAGCAUGCCCAGGCAGUCUCGAUCUUCAAGACUGCGACGCGGUUCCGACCGCGUUGAUCAACCAGUUCGCUCCGGCAUCCCAGCGCGAACAGCCAUCGGUUCUCCCGAUGGUGAUGC
Molecule: non-coding RNA, 150 nt
Organism: Pantoea sp. PSNIH2
Lineage: Bacteria; Pseudomonadati; Pseudomonadota; Gammaproteobacteria; Enterobacterales; Erwiniaceae
Source: Rfam